This 70-nucleotide transfer RNA is filed under the name Marmota monax (woodchuck). Its description in RNAcentral is "tRNA.Ala". The stretch from base 9 to 65 matches the Rfam family "tRNA", at positions 8 to 63 of the family's 71-position model. Rfam says of the family: Transfer RNA (tRNA) molecules are approximately 80 nucleotides in length. Their secondary structure includes four short double-helical elements and three loops (D, anti-codon, and T loops). The record is from RNAcentral. Lineage: Eukaryota; Metazoa; Chordata; Mammalia; Rodentia; Sciuridae.
GGAGAUAAUAGCUCAGUUGUAGAGCACUUGCCUAGCAUGCUAGAGGCCCUGGAUUCAAUCCCCAGCACUG